AACGAACGCUGGCGGCAUGGCUAAGACAUGCAAGUCGCACGGACCGUAUAGCAAUAUGCGGUUAGUGGCGAAAGGGAGAGUAAUGAAUAGGUAAUGUACCUUGGACACAGGGAUAACGCCGGGGGCAACCCCUUUACGAAAGUGGCGCUAAUACCUGGUGAAGUCGGGACGGGGCAUCCCGUUGCGACCAGAGGGCGGGGAUCGUAAGACCUGCCGGUCUGAGAGCAGCCUAUUUCCAUCACCUAGUUGGUGAGGUAACGGCUCACCAAGGGAUCGAC
RNAcentral lists this ribosomal RNA (278 nucleotides) under uncultured bacterium. Its description in RNAcentral is "partial 16S ribosomal RNA". It matches the Rfam family "Bacterial small subunit ribosomal RNA", at positions 29 to 280 of the family's 1533-position model. The record is from RNAcentral.